Molecule: ribosomal RNA, 478 nt
Filed under: uncultured bacterium
Lineage: Bacteria
Description: partial 16S ribosomal RNA
Rfam family: Bacterial small subunit ribosomal RNA
Source: RNAcentral
GACGAACGCUGGCGGCGUGCUUAACACAUGCAAGUCGAACGGUAAGGCCCUUCGGGGUACACGAGUGGCGAACGGGUGAGUAACACGUGGGUGAUCUGCCCUGCACUUCGGGAUAAGCCUGGGAAACUGGGUCUAAUACCGGAUAGGACUCCGGACUGCAUGGUCUGGGGUGGAAAGCUUUUGCGGUGUGGGAUGGGCCCGCGGCCUAUCAGCUUGUUGGUGGGGUGAUGGCCUACCAAGGCGACGACGGGUAGCCGGCCUGAGAGGGUGACCGGCCACACUGGGACUGAGAUACGGCCCAGACUCCUACGGGAGGAAGCAGUGGGGAAUAUUGCACAAUGGGCGCAAGCCUGAUGCAGCGACGCCGCGUGAGGGAUGACGGCCUUCGGGUUGUAAACCUCUUUCAGCAUCGACGAAGCGAAAGUGACGGUAGGUGCAGAAGAAGGACCGGCCAACUACGUGCCAGCCGCCGCCGUAA